AGCAGUCGCCACGGUAAUACGGAGGGGGCUAGCGUUGUUCGGAAUUACUGGGCGUAAAGCGCACGUAGGCGGCUUUGUAAGUCAGAGGUGAAAGCCCGGGGCUCAACCCCGGAAUUGCCUUUGAGACUGCAUCGCUUGAAUCCAGGAGAGGUGAGUGGAAUUCCGAGUGUAGAGGUGAAAUUCGUAGAUAUUCGGAAGAACACCAGUGGCGAAGGCGGCUCACUGGACUGGUAUUGACGCUGAGGUGCGAAAGCGUGGGGAGCAAACAGGAUUAGAUACCCGCGUAGUCCCUGUCUCUUAUAC
This 303-nucleotide ribosomal RNA is filed under the name uncultured bacterium. RNAcentral's name for it is "partial 16S ribosomal RNA". It matches the Rfam family "Bacterial small subunit ribosomal RNA", at positions 507 to 807 of the family's 1533-position model. The record is from RNAcentral.